CUCCUACGGGAGGCAGCAGUGGGGAAUUUUGGACAAUGGGGGCAACCCUGAUCCAGCCAUGCCGCGUGCGGGAAGAAGGCCUUCGGGUUGUAAACCGCUUUUGGUCGGGAAGAAAGGGCAGUCUUGAAUACGGACUGUUGUUGACGGUACCGGCAGAAUAAGCACCGGCUAACUACGUGCCAGCAGCCGCGGUAAUACGUAGGGUGCGAGCGUUAAUCGGAAUUACUGGGCGUAAAGCGUGCGCAGGCGGUUGGCCAAGUCUGAUGUGAAAGCCCCGGGCUUAACCUGGGAACGGCAUUGGAAACUGGUCGGCUGGAGUAUGGCAGAGGGGGGUGGAAUUCCACGUGUAGCAGUGAAAUGCGUAGAGAUGUGGAGGAACACCGAUGGCGAAGGCAGCCCCCUGGGCCAAUACUGACGCUCAGGCACGAAAGCGUGGGGAGCAAACAGGAUUAGAUACCCUGGUAGUCCACGCCCUAAACGAUGUCAACUUGGGUGUUGGGGAAGCGAUUCCUUGGUACCGUAGCUAACGCGUGAAGUUGACCGCUGGGGAGUACGGCCGCAAGGGUAAAACUCAAAGGAAUUGACGGGGACCCGCACAACCGGUGGAUGAUGUGAUUAAUUCGAUCCACCGCGACCACCCUUCCUACCCUUGCCAUGUCCGGAACCCUCUGAGAGGUGGGUGUGCCCGAAAGGGAAUCAGACCCCAGGUGCUGCAUGCCUGUCGUCAGCUCGUGUCGUGAGAUGUUGGGUUAAGUCCCGCACCGAGCCCAACCCUUGUCCCUAGUUGCUACGCAAGGGCCCUCUAGGGAGCCUCCCGGUGCCAACCCGGAGGAAGGUGGGGAUGCCGUCAAGUCCUCAUGGCCCUUAUGGGUAGGGCUUCCCCCGUCAUCCAAUGCCCGGUCCACAGGGUAGCCAACCCGCGAGGGGGAGCCAAUCCCCAUAAAACCCGGUCGUAGUCCGGAUUGCAGUCUGCACCUCGACUGCAUGAAGUCGGAAUCGCUAGUA
Molecule: ribosomal RNA, 1005 nt
Filed under: uncultured Burkholderia sp.
Lineage: Bacteria; Pseudomonadati; Pseudomonadota; Betaproteobacteria; Burkholderiales; Burkholderiaceae
Description: bacterial SSU rRNA
Rfam family: Bacterial small subunit ribosomal RNA
Source: RNAcentral